GACGAACGCUGGCGGCGUGCCUAAUACAUGCAAGUCGAGCGAGGGUCUUUAAGACCCUAGCGGCGGACGGGUGAGUAACACGUAGGCAACCUGCCCGUAAGACCGGGAUAACAUAGGGAAACUUAUGCUAAUACCGGAUAGGGCAUUCUCUCGCAUGAGAGAAUGCGGAAAGGUGGCGCAAGCUACCACUUACGGAUGGGCCUGCGGCGCAUUAGCUAGUUGGUGGGGUAACGGCCUACCAAGGCGACGAUGCGUAGCCGACCUGAGAGGGUGACCGGCCACACUGGGACUGAGACACGGCCCAGACACCUACGGGUGGCUG
This 322-nucleotide ribosomal RNA is filed under the name uncultured Bacillota bacterium. Its description in RNAcentral is "bacterial SSU rRNA". It matches the Rfam family "Bacterial small subunit ribosomal RNA", at positions 28 to 351 of the family's 1533-position model. The record is from RNAcentral. Lineage: Bacteria; Bacillati; Bacillota.